Molecule: transfer RNA, 72 nt
Filed under: Camelus bactrianus (Bactrian camel)
Lineage: Eukaryota; Metazoa; Chordata; Mammalia; Artiodactyla; Camelidae
Also listed under: 2 other names
Rfam family: tRNA
About the family: Transfer RNA (tRNA) molecules are approximately 80 nucleotides in length. Their secondary structure includes four short double-helical elements and three loops (D, anti-codon, and T loops).
Source: Rfam by way of RNAcentral
GAGGGUAUAGCUCAGUAAAAGAGCACAUGCUUAGCAUGCACAAGGUCCUGGGUUCAAUCCUCAGUACCUCCU